CAGCACUCAUGGGACUCCGGAAGCCCCAGAACUGCCCAUACCUGUGGUUGAUCAUGAAAAACCCCAGGAAACUCUCUAAGCCACCACUUCUUCUAAAACCUGAACCAGCUCCGCCCUCCUAUCACUGGCCUGCCCACUCCUGCUCACGGGGACCUCACUUCUUACCUUGUCCCUGGGGAGCCAGCCUGGCCCGCGGGAUGUCACUGCUGGAGGCCGUCAUCUUCUCAUCUCUCUGGGCCUUUGGCCUUGGGCAGGGGAAACUGGAACAACCUGAAAUAUCAAUUUCCAGAGCAAGGGGGAAGAGUGCACACAUAUCGUGCAAGAUGUCCACUGAGGUCAUCAACAGAGCCAUACACUGGUACCGGCAGAAGCCAGAUCAAGAGAUAGAACAUCUAACACUUGUCUCAACACAGCCCGUUCAAGUUUCUUUAGGAGGGAAGAGCGAAAAACUUGAGGCAAGUAAAAACGCUCACACUUCCACUGCAACCUUGAAAAUAAAUUUCUUAGAGCAAGAAGAUGAGGCCGUGUACUUCUGUGCCUUCUGGGACUAGAGCCACAGCACCAGAGUUGCCAGGAGAGGCUGCACAAGAACCGUGCUCGGUCUGGGUCCACCCACAUCCUUCUCCACCUGGGCAACCACAGAGGCCGCACAGCCCGGUGCCCAGCCGGAGCCUCUCCCUCUGCAGUAGUUCCUGACCUUUGCAGGAAGACAUUGUAGAUUCUGCUCGCACAGCGAGCCCCACGUGAUACCAGCAGUGACGGUCCCCGUGAAAGCAGUUUGACACUGGUUCCCGCUGGAUUCAGCUGUCUGGGAACUCUGAAGACGCAGGGUGGAUGGAUCAGGGAAAAAUCCAUGUGUCUGUUAAUUCACUGUGGAGACAGAGGUUUCUAGCACCCGAGUGGCUCAGAAUGAAGAGAGGAAAGGACAUAAAUAUUUCCUGUCAUUUUUACUUUCUGAUUUAAUUCACGGGCAUUACAGUUCUUCACAGGUGGAAUGAUCUGUCAGACAUAAUAACUGAGGCCAUCCUGAAGGAAUCUAGUGACCGUGAAACCAUGAAGUAAGCAACCAGGUCUUUGGGGAAUAGGAGACACCAAGGUAUAAAUUCUGUAUCCUGGAGAGAUAGACAGUGCCUCACUCCACAUCCAGGGAUCGAUAUGGGGACAAAACCAGAGAUGUACUUUUAAACAGCCCUGAGCACUUCACAUGCUUCCAACAGGGCGGAUAUGCCUCCAAGACUUAGUUCUCCAGGGUUCUACAAAGAGAAAGAAAGAUCCCGAAUAAGAAUCA
Herpailurus yagouaroundi (jaguarundi) is the source of this 1288-nucleotide non-coding RNA. NCBI's taxonomy places the organism in Eukaryota, Metazoa, Chordata, Mammalia, Carnivora, Felidae. The record is from the annotation of a RefSeq genome assembly.